Molecule: ribosomal RNA, 252 nt
Filed under: uncultured bacterium
Lineage: Bacteria
Description: partial 16S ribosomal RNA
Rfam family: Bacterial small subunit ribosomal RNA
Source: RNAcentral
GACAGAGGGUGCAAACGUUGUUCGGAAUUACUGGGCGUAAAGCGCGUGUAGGCUGCCCCGCAAGUCAGGUGUGAAAGCCUGGGCUCAACCUAGGAAGUGCACUUGAAACUGCGGGGAUCGAGGGCUGGAGAGGGAAGCGGAAUUCUCGGUGUAGAGGUGAAAUUCGUAGAUAUCGAGAGGAACACCGGUGGCGAAGGCGGCUUCCUGGACAGUUACUGACGCUGAGACGCGAAAGCGUGGGGAGCAAACAGG